This 401-nucleotide ribosomal RNA is filed under the name bacterium. Its description in RNAcentral is "partial 16S ribosomal RNA". It matches the Rfam family "Bacterial small subunit ribosomal RNA", at positions 355 to 776 of the family's 1533-position model. The record is from RNAcentral.
UGGGGAAUUUUGCACAAUGGGGGAAACCCUGAUGCAGCGACGCCGCGUGAUUUAGAAGGCCUUCGGGUUGUAAAAAUCUUUUCUAUGGGAAGAAAAUGACAGUACCAUAGGAAUAAGGACCGGCUAAUUACGUGCCAGCAGCCGCGGUAAUACGUAAGGUCCGAGCGUUGUCCGGAAUCAUUGGGCGUAAAGGGUACGUAGGCGGGUAAGCAAGUUAGAAGUGAAAUCCUAUAGCUCAACUAUAGUAAGCUUUUAAAACUGCUCAUCUUGAGGUAUGGAAGGGAAAGUGGAAUUCCUAGUGUAGCGGUGAAAUGCGCAGAUAUUAGGGGAAUACCGGUGGCGAAGGCGACUUUCUGGCCAUAACCUGACGCUGAGGUACGAAAGCGUGGGUAGCAAACAGG